RNAcentral lists this ribosomal RNA (433 nucleotides) under uncultured bacterium. Its description in RNAcentral is "partial 16S ribosomal RNA". It matches the Rfam family "Bacterial small subunit ribosomal RNA", at positions 29 to 507 of the family's 1533-position model. The record is from RNAcentral.
AACGAACGCUGGCGGCAUGCCUAACACAUGCAAGUCGAACGAGACCUUCGGGUCUAGUGGCGCACGGGUGCGUAACGCGUGGGAACCUGCCCUUAGGUUCGGAAUAACUCCCCGAAAGGGGUGCUAAUACCGGAUAAUGUCUUCGGACCAAAGAUUUAUCGCCUUUGGAUGGGCCCGCGUUGGAUUAGCUAGUUGGUAGGGUAAAAGCCUACCAAGGCGACGAUCCAUAGCUGGUCUGAGAGGAUGAUCAGCCACACUGGGACUGAGACACGGACCAGACUCCUACGCGAGGCAGCAGUGGGUAAUAUUGGACGCUGGACCCAAGCCUGAUCCAGCCAUGCCGCGUGAGUGAUGAAGGCCUUAGGGUUGUAAAGCUCUUUUACCCGGGAUGAUAAUGACAGUACCGGGAGAAUAAGCUCCGGCUAACUCCGUG